AAGUCUUAAGUUAAAAAUAUAAACUAAUAGCCUUCAAAGUUAAAAAUAUGCCGUUUUAGGCUUUGA
RNAcentral lists this transfer RNA (66 nucleotides) under Trioza erytreae. RNAcentral describes it as "tRNA-Trp". Lineage: Eukaryota; Metazoa; Arthropoda; Insecta; Hemiptera; Triozidae. The record is from RNAcentral.